GAUCAUGGCUCAGGACGAACGCUGGCGGCGCGCCUAACACAUGCAAGUCGAACGAGAGAUGAGGAGCUUGCCCUUCAAAUCGAGUGGCGAACGGGUGAGUAACGCGUGAGGAACCUGCCUCAAAGAGGGGGACAACAGUUGGAAACGACUGCUAAUACCGCAUAAGCCCACGGCUCGGCAUCGAGCAGAGGGAAAAGGAGCAAUCCGCUUUGAGAUGGCCUCGCGUCCGAUUAG
Molecule: ribosomal RNA, 234 nt
Filed under: uncultured bacterium
Lineage: Bacteria
Description: partial 16S ribosomal RNA
Rfam family: Bacterial small subunit ribosomal RNA
Source: RNAcentral